AAUCAACGCUGGCGGCGUGCCUCAGACAUGCAAGUCGAACGAUUAAAGCUCUCUUCGGAGAGUGUAUAGAGUGGCGCACGGGUGAGUAACACGUAAGUAAUCUACCUUCGAGUGGGGAAUAACCCGGGGAACCCGAGCUAAUACCGCAUAAUGCAGCGGCAUCUAAUGAUGACAGUUGUUAAAGAUUUUAUCGCUUGAAGAGGAGCUUGCGGCAGAUUAGCUAGUUGGUAAGGUAAUGGCUUACCAAGGCUACGAUCUGUAACCGGUCUAAGAGGACGGUCGGUCACACUGACACUGAAUAACGGGUCAGACUCCUACGGGAGGCAGCAGUCGGGAAUUUUGGGCAUGGGCGAAAGUCUGACCCAGCAACGCCGCGUGAAGGAUGAAGUAUUUCGGUAUGUAAACUUUCGAAAGAAUGGGAAGAAUCAAUGACGGUACCAUUUAUUAAGGUCCGGCUAACUACGUGCCAGCAGCCGCAGUAAU
This 483-nucleotide ribosomal RNA is filed under the name uncultured bacterium. Its description in RNAcentral is "bacterial SSU rRNA". It matches the Rfam family "Bacterial small subunit ribosomal RNA", at positions 32 to 524 of the family's 1533-position model. The record is from RNAcentral.